This 460-nucleotide ribosomal RNA is filed under the name uncultured bacterium. Its description in RNAcentral is "partial 16S ribosomal RNA". It matches the Rfam family "Bacterial small subunit ribosomal RNA", at positions 338 to 795 of the family's 1533-position model. The record is from RNAcentral.
CCUACGGGUGGCAGCAGUGAGGAAUAUUGGUCAAUGGACGAGAGUCUGAACCAGCCAAGUAGCGUGAAGGAUGACUGCCCUAUGGGUUGUAAACUUCUUUUAUAUGGGAAUAAAAUGUUCCACGUGUGGGAUUUUGUAUGUACCAUAUGACUAAGGAUCGGCUAACUCCGUGCCAGCAGCCACGGUAAUACGGAGGAUCCGAGCGUUAUCCGGAUUUAUUGGGUUUAAAGGGAGCGUAGGUGGAUUGUUAAGUCAGUUGUGAAAGUUUGCGGCUCAACCGUAAAAUUGCAGUUGAAACUGGCAGUCGUGAGUACAGUAGAGGUGGGCGGAAUUCGUGGUGUAGCGGUGAAAUGCUUAGAUAUCACGAAGAACUCCGAUUGCGAAGGCAGCUCACUGGACUGCAACUGACACUGAGGCUCGAAAGUGUGGGUAUCAAACAGGAUUAGAUACCCCUGUAGUC